UACGAGGGGGGCUAGCGUUGUUCGGAAUUACUGGGCGUAAAGGGCGCGUAGGCGGUGUGUCAAGUCAGGCGUGAAAGCCCCGGGCUCAACCUGGGAACCGCGCUUGAGACUGGCACGCUCGAGUUCGGGAGAGGAUGGUGGAAUUCCCAGUGUAGAGGUGAAAUUCGUAGAUAUUGGGAAGAACACCGAUGGCGAAGGCAGCCAUCUGGACCGACACUGACGCUGAGGCGCGAAAGCGUGGGGAGCAAACAGG
Molecule: ribosomal RNA, 253 nt
Filed under: uncultured bacterium
Lineage: Bacteria
Description: partial 16S ribosomal RNA
Rfam family: Bacterial small subunit ribosomal RNA
Source: RNAcentral